Aphis gossypii (cotton aphid) is the source of this 1474-nucleotide long non-coding RNA. RefSeq lists it as uncharacterized. NCBI's taxonomy places the organism in Eukaryota, Metazoa, Arthropoda, Insecta, Hemiptera, Aphididae. The record is from RefSeq and is a predicted model, not a curated record. The transcript is spliced from 3 exons.
CAUGUUGGUGUACGGAAACGGAACCAUUUCCUUGUUCAGACGACGUCUUCAGACCAUAAGGAAACAAUACUGCAAUCUGCUGAUCGAGUUUCGCUUCUAUAUUGUUUUACGAUUUUUCGUAGUCCAAACAUAUAUAUAUAUACUAUAUAUAUGUAUAUAGAUAUAUGCCCGUAAUGCGGCCAUUUGACUGUUAGAUACUUUUUAUAUAUUUUACUUAUCAGUUAAUAAUUAGUUCUUAACGUUAAGUGUAUUGAGCAUAUUUUUUAAAUUGUCAAAGCGCAUAUCAUAACUGCUAUAUUUUUAAUUUUUAAUUUAGAGUUUAUUGUAUUAUUUAUAUAAGUAAUACAUUGACUGAUGAUCAAUCUGUGUAUCGGCGGCCAGCGGCUGAUGCUUACAAAAUACAAAUUCUCAAAAGCGAAAUUACACUUAUAGUGUAGGAACACUAUGGUAUUGUCCUUCUGAGUUACUGCUUGGUGGACUUAAUUACAGUUCUGCUGUAGAUGUGGGAAACAAGCUGCAUUAUGGUUGCAUUUUUUACUCAAUAUCCUAUUAUGCAUGGUUCUUCAAAAAAUAAGUCAAUUAAUGUUGAUAUCAUUAUUAUGUGGGUCAAUAAUACCAGAAGUAUGGCCUAACAUUGUCAAUCUCGAUGUGUAAAAAAAAAAUUACACUUCCAAAACAAAAUACAAGAAAGGUACAGACAUAUUUUAUACACCAUAUUUCUAGCAGUUUGGGAUGUGAUUUGAUUGACCAUUUAUUAAUGCUGGCUCGGGAAAGAGAAACGAUGGCGACACAGCUUUAAAUCAGGAUUUUUUUUGGAAAGAUCCCAUUCUCAGUGAUUUAUUUAGUCAUAUAAUAAAUAAAAAACAAUUGCCAUGAAUACAAUAUAUUUCAAAAACGAAAAUUUCAAAAGAACCAACAAAUUGUAAAAUGUGCAAAACCAAUAUCAGUUAUAGUAGGCAUGGGCGCCCAUUGGGAGGGGCAAGGGGGGCACUUGCCCCUCCCCCUGGAAAAAAAAUAUUAAAAACUUGUAACUCAAUAAAUAUUACCAUAAUAUAAUUAUUAUCUUUACAUUUGAGAAUUUUUUAUUUUGACCCCCCCCCCCCUAAAAUUUUACUUAUGGGCGCCCAUGUUAGUAAGUAAUGGUGCUUCAACUUCUAACUUACACGAUCACAUUUACUAAAGAAUAUGGUGUAUAGCAACAUAAUCUUACAAUGAUAUCAUAUACUUUUCGAUACUAUAUUUAAAAAAUAUAUUUUUUAGAUUAAUUAAAUGAUUAGUUAACUUUUUAAUAUAUUAUACCAUUUUAAUUGAUAUUGAUAUGACGUUAAACUUGGUGUAUUGAAUAUUUUUAUUAUUAUUUUAAUAUAUUUAAUCAAUAUUAAUAUUCCUACAAUACUUUUACUGUAUAUAUUUAUUAUUGUUCAUUUUUUGUUUAAUAGAAUCAGCUAAUAAUGUAGUGUAUAACAGCAUAAUC